GCUUACGACCAUAUCACGUUGAAUGCACGCCAUCCCGUCCGAUCUGGCAAGUUAAGCAACGUUGAGUCCAGUUAGUACUUGGAUCGGAGACGGCCUGGGAMUCCUGGAUGWUGUAAGMU
RNAcentral lists this ribosomal RNA (119 nucleotides) under Acidaminobacter sp. JC074. The record is from RNAcentral. Lineage: Bacteria; Bacillati; Bacillota; Clostridia; Peptostreptococcales; Acidaminobacteraceae.